UACAUUUGCACCCUCAAGAAAAGUUCUUGAGUUUACAUAAUAAUCAUUUACAAUAAUAUUGGCAUG
Molecule: non-coding RNA, 66 nt
Organism: Flavobacteriaceae bacterium TMED81
Lineage: Bacteria; Pseudomonadati; Bacteroidota; Flavobacteriia; Flavobacteriales; Flavobacteriaceae
Source: Rfam